This 522-nucleotide long non-coding RNA is filed under the name Cyanistes caeruleus (blue tit). RNAcentral describes it as "lncRNA (ENSCCEG00000018529.1)". Lineage: Eukaryota; Metazoa; Chordata; Aves; Passeriformes; Paridae. The record is from RNAcentral.
UGACAAUCUUUAAUUAAUAUAUUUCUUAAUUUAUUUAAUUAAUAAUUAUUAAUUUAUUUAAUUAAUGAUACUCCCUUCCACAGAUUUCCUAAGGAAUAAAGAAUGAUGUGAGGAUAGACAAAUAAGGGCAGAAACCCAGAGAAGAUAAAUUGUGGCUUUCAUUAUCCUUCGCCUGUUAACUUUACUGCCACAGAGAGAAAUAUUUCCACCAAGGAAGAGAGAAAUGAAAGGAGACGAGAAUGUCACAAGUGGCAGAACUUCUGCUGGGAUUUCAUUCUCCACCCCUGCUUGGGACUCCUUCCUGCUUCUUCCUAUCCUAAUGCAAACAUGGUCUAGCUUCAGAAUAGCUGUUAUCCAAAAGCUUCUGGCAGAGGACGUACAAGCCCACGCUACCACCCCAACCAUACAUGUGUAUGUCUUGACCUUUCAAUUUCCUUGAGAGCCAUACCCACUGGAAAUGACUAUUAAAACAAAGAAAAGCUUCACCGCAUUCUGGCAUUUUCAGGGAAAAAAAAAAUCCAG